RNAcentral lists this long non-coding RNA (1010 nucleotides) under Chinchilla lanigera (long-tailed chinchilla). RNAcentral's name for it is "lncRNA (ENSCLAG00000025137.1)". Lineage: Eukaryota; Metazoa; Chordata; Mammalia; Rodentia; Chinchillidae. The record is from RNAcentral.
GGAAGAUGUCCACGGACAGUUUUCAAGUUGGGUGAUUGCAAAGCCAUCUGCCUCCGGGGGAGGGCAAACAAGGGGUGGUGCGAGCCAGGGAGAGAAGACGCAGAAGUCACAAGCGAGCAGAAGAGCUCAGGAGGAGACACAGUGACAAACGGCCACAGAGGAGGGAGGGAGACACAGCAGGCAGAGCCUGUGGGUAUCAACAACCUCUUCCUGACACCGUGGCCCCUGGGCAGACCCAGCUGGUCUCAGUGCCUGCUCCUCCUGCCUGAGUCUUCGGAGUCCCUGAAUUCCUGCAAUCUUGUAGGAAUCCAUUCUCUCUCUCUCUCUCUCUCUCUCUCUCUCUCUCUCUCUCUCUCUCUCUCUCUCAAAGAAGCUCUGGGCAGAUAUCUGAAGAGUGCGUUCCUCGACAUCACACAGCCAGCAGAGGGCGACAUCAGGACUGCAGCCUGGGAUUCCAGGGUCCUUUCUGCUGUUCUGGACAGGCCCAGAUUCCCGAGCCUGGAGCUCCCCACCCCGCGUGAGUGCACCCAGGUCGCACAGAUGCCAGCCUUUGGAGGAUGCUGGAGUCCAGCGGGGACAGCCAAGACCUCAGGCUGGGUAAAGCUACCGGGUGUAGCCCUAUUUGCCCUGGGCACCAUGCAGAGAUCACCCUAUUCUUGUGCAAGGACACAAAAAAGAUGGGCAGUGAUGCCCAGGUGAGGGCACAGCCGCUGCCCUGGUGGUGAGGGAGCUCUUUGUGGAUUCGUCUUCUGUAUCUCGGGAGGCUGUGGCACUUCACAGACCCUGCUGGCCACGAGGCAGCCUCUGCCGGGACACAGCCAGCUGUGGCUCGGUGCCAGCCUUUCACACGCCAACCUGUCCAUCUUGAGUCUGCGCUCCAAGCACCCUCUGAUCUAAUUCCCACGCACCCAGCCAAUGUUCCUCUGCCCACAUCAUCCUGGGCAGUGCCAGGCAGCAGGAGCCCCCCUGACAGCCCAGAGCCUGCUGGGAGGCUCAAAGCAGCCGGUCCC